AUUCUAAUUAUUGAGCUCGGGUUAGCUCGAUUGGACCUAAAUCAAUUAGAUUGAAAUCUAAUCAAAUUUGAUCAACUUAUAUCCGGACCUACUGCUGACUAGAUGUGGAACCUAAUGGGUCACACACAUAUAGAAAUUGGCCAAGGAUCCUUUUGAAAAAGAUUGAUUGAAAUUUUGGAUUCAAUCAGGGUUUCGAUAAGCAUGCUAGCACGUGUGGAAACCCUUGCUCCUUUGGAG
This 237-nucleotide long non-coding RNA is filed under the name Elaeis guineensis (African oil palm). RNAcentral describes it as "long non-coding RNA (EGUI_LNC062470)". Lineage: Eukaryota; Viridiplantae; Streptophyta; Magnoliopsida; Arecales; Arecaceae. The record is from RNAcentral.